RNAcentral lists this long non-coding RNA (285 nucleotides) under Elaeis guineensis (African oil palm). RNAcentral's name for it is "long non-coding RNA (EGUI_LNC009058)". The record is from RNAcentral. Lineage: Eukaryota; Viridiplantae; Streptophyta; Magnoliopsida; Arecales; Arecaceae.
GUGGAACUUCUUUUGCAGGUCUCUCUCUUCCAGCACCGAGUGGAGACCACCACCACCGUUCAUCGGUAACUCCUCGCUCUCACCUUUAGCCAUGAUUGUGUGCACCUUCUCUGACGACGGCACACCAUCUCUCGGCAUCUCGUUGGCCCACUUUCAGGCGUAGCACCUAGUCGGCUCUAGGCCGACUAUCCCAAUUGGAGAAAGGCUGCAACAAUUUGGUGCGCCAUAUAGGGGGGGCAAUUGAGCAGAAAAAAAAAAUUUCUCUCUUAAAAACUUCUAUGGCCA